UACGGGGGGGGCAAGCGUUGUUCGGAAUUACUGGGCGUAAAGGGCUCGUAGGCGGCCAACUAAGUCAGACGUGAAAUCCCUCGGCUUAACCGGGGAACUGCGUCUGAUACUGGAUGGCUUGAGUUUGGGAGAGGGAUGCGGAGUUCCAGGUGUAGCGGUGAAAUGCGUAGAUAUCUGGAGGAACACCGGUGGCGAAGGCGGCAUCCUGGACCAACACUGACGCUGAGGAGCGAAAGCCAGGGGAGCAAACGGG
RNAcentral lists this ribosomal RNA (253 nucleotides) under uncultured bacterium. Its description in RNAcentral is "partial 16S ribosomal RNA". It matches the Rfam family "Bacterial small subunit ribosomal RNA", at positions 524 to 776 of the family's 1533-position model. The record is from RNAcentral.